This 440-nucleotide ribosomal RNA is filed under the name uncultured bacterium. RNAcentral describes it as "partial 16S ribosomal RNA". It matches the Rfam family "Bacterial small subunit ribosomal RNA", at positions 338 to 795 of the family's 1533-position model. The record is from RNAcentral.
CCUACGGGAGGCAGCAGUGGGGAAUAUUGGACAAUGGGGGGAACCUUGAUCCAGCGACGCCGCGUGAGUGAUGAAGUACUUCGGUUUGUAAAGCUCUAUUAGCAGGGAAGAAAAUGACGGUACCUGACUAAGAAGCCCCGGCUAAAUACGUGCCAGCAGCCGCGGGAAUACUUAGGGGGGAAGCGUUAUCCGGAUUUACUGGGGGGAACGGGAGCGUAGACGGUGCAGCAAGGCUGAGGUGAAAGUUAGGGGUCCAAACCCGGGUCUGCAUUGGAAACUGUUGAACUGGAGUACAGGAGAGGUAAGCGGAAUUCCAAGUGUAGCGGUGAAAUGCGUAGAUAUAAGGAGGAACACCAGUGGCGAAGGCGGCUUACUGGACUGUAACUGACGUUGAGGCUCGAAAGCGUGGGGAGCAAACAGGAUUAGAUACCCUUGUAGUC